This 253-nucleotide ribosomal RNA is filed under the name uncultured bacterium. RNAcentral's name for it is "partial 16S ribosomal RNA". It matches the Rfam family "Bacterial small subunit ribosomal RNA", at positions 524 to 776 of the family's 1533-position model. The record is from RNAcentral.
UACGGAGGGUGCGAGCGUUGUCCGGAAUCACUGGGCGUAAAGGGUGCGUAGGCGGGUCUUUAAGUCAGGGGUGAAAUCCUGGAGCUCAACUCCAGAACUGCCUUUGAUACUGAGGAUCUUGAGUUCGGGAGAGGUGAGUGGAACUGCGAGUGUAGAGGUGAAAUUCGUAGAUAUUGGGAAGAACACCGGUGGCGAAGGCGGCUCUCUGGACCGAGACUGACGCUGAGGCGCGAAAGCGUGGGGAGCAAACAGG